GCCAGGAGCCCUCAGACCAUACCAAUGCCGUCGGUCUGAAGGGUGAUGAUAUAGUCCGAUCUGCAUAGCGAUAUGCAGGGGUCAAUGGCUACAGAUAUCUGUAGCCGGUUAUUGACUCGCAACUGGAUGCAGGCAGUUUGGCGCCAGUUGUUAACAUCAAUGAACGGUCCUAAGGUAGCGAGGUUGAUGAGAGCUUUGUUGUAGGUGGACCAGUUGGUGAUUUUGAACUUUUGCUUUGCCACGGAACGGUCUGCGUUGUCGGGAAGAUGCGUGAUCUGAUCCUUCAACUCAGCAAAAGUUCGAUUUAUUCAACAAAGCCACGUUGUGUCUCAAAAUCUCUGAUGUUACAUUGCACAAGAUAAAAAUAUAUCAUCAUGAAUAAUAAAACUGUCUGCUUACAUAAACAGUAAUACAAGGGGUGUUAUGAGCCAUAUUCAACGGGAAACGUCUUGCUCGAGGCCGCGAUUAAAUUCCAACAUGGAUGCUGAUUUAUAUGGGUAUAAAUGGGCUCGCGAUAAUGUCGGGCAAUCAGGUGCGACAAUCUAUCGAUUGUAUGGGAAGCCCGAUGCGCCAGAGUUGUUUCUGAAACAUGGCAAAGGUAGCGUUGCCAAUGAUGUUACAGAUGAGAUGGUCAGACUAAACUGGCUGACGGAAUUUAUGCCUCUUCCGACCAUCAAGCAUUUUAUCCGUACUCCUGAUGAUGCAUGGUUACUCACCACUGCGAUCCCCGGGAAAACAGCAUUCCAGGUAUUAGAAGAAUAUCCUGAUUCAGGUGAAAAUAUUGUUGAUGCGCUGGCAGUGUUCCUGCGCCGGUUGCAUUCGAUUCCUGUUUGUAAUUGUCCUUUUAACAGCGAUCGCGUAUUUCGUCUCGCUCAGGCGCAAUCACGAAUGAAUAACGGUUUGGUUGAUGCGAGUGAUUUUGAUGACGAGCGUAAUGGCUGGCCUGUUGAACAAGUCUGGAAAGAAAUGCAUAAGCUUUUGCCAUUCUCACCGGAUUCAGUCGUCACUCAUGGUGAUUUCUCACUUGAUAACCUUAUUUUUGACGAGGGGAAAUUAAUAGGUUGUAUUGAUGUUGGACGAGUCGGAAUCGCAGACCGAUACCAGGAUCUUGCCAUCCUAUGGAACUGCCUCGGUGAGUUUUCUCCUUCAUUACAGAAACGGCUUUUUCAAAAAUAUGGUAUUGAUAAUCCUGAUAUGAAUAAAUUGCAGUUUCAUUUGAUGCUCGAUGAGUUUUUCUAAUCAGAAUUGGUUAAUUGGUUGUAACACUGGCAGAGCAUUACGCUGACUUUAACUAUAACGGUCCUAAGGUGGGAAUUAGCUGCCUUAGUAAAAUCCAACCAAAUGCUGGGACGCCUGAGAAUCCUACGCUACGAAGAAAUUUUUGUGGGUUUCCGCGAAAAAUUUCCCGUGACAAUGCGAUAGGUGCAGGUAAUCAGCAGGAAAGACUCAUGGCUUGUUGGGCAUGAGAAUCCCCAGAGACUAAACGCUGGACAUCUCAAUCCCUGUUGAGAUGAAGAUAUAGUCCGAACUGUGUGGCGACACGCAGAGCAGUAGUGAAAGCUGCUGCCGCCUCAGACUGGUGUAAGCCGGUGAAGUCGAGGUCAGCCGUUUUAGCUCAAGCGGCACAAGUAACAGCGAGAGCGAAAUUCCUUGUCGGGUAAGUUCCGACCUGCACGAAUGGCGUAAUGAUGGCCACGCUGUCUCCACCCAAGACUCAGUGAAAUUGAAAUCGCUGUUAAGAUGCAGUGUACCCGCGGCUAGACGGAAAGACCCCGUGAACCUUUACUAUAGCUUCACACUGGACUUUGACCUUAUUUGUGUAGGAUAGGUGGGAGACUUUGAAGCGCCGGCGCCAGCCGGCGUGGAGUCAACCUUGAAAUACCACCCUGGUAAUGUUGAGGUUCUAACUCAGGUCCCUUACCGGGAUCGAGGACAGUGUGUGGUGGGUAGUUUGACUGGGGCGGUCUCCUCCCAAAGAGUAACGGAGGAGCACGAAGGUACCCUAAGGGCGGUCGGAAAUCGCCCGUUUAGUGUAAUGGCAUAAGGGUGCUUGACUGCGAGAGUGACAACUCGAGCAGGAGCGAAAGCUGGUCAUAGUGAUCCGGUGGUUCUGAAUGGAAGGGCCAUCGCUCAACGGAUAAAAGGUACUCCGGGGAUAACAGGCUGAUACCGCCCAAGAGUUCACAUCGACGGCGGUGUUUGGCACCUCGAUGUCGGCUCAUCACAUCCUGGGGCUGAAGCCGGUCCCAAGGGUAUGGCUGUUCGCCAUUUAAAGUGGUACGCGAGCUGGGUUUAGAACGUCGUGAGACAGUUCGGUCCCUAUCUGCCGUGGGCGCAGGAGAUUUGAGAAGAGUUGCUCCUAGUACGAGAGGACCGGAGUGAACGAACCUCUGGUGUUCGGGUUGUGUCGCCAGACGCAUUGCCCGGUAGCUAUGUUCGGACAGGAUAACCGCUGAAAGCAUCUAAGCGGGAAGCCUCCUUCGAGACGAGAUCUCCCUCAGGACUUGAUCCUGCUGAAGUGCCGUUGAAGACGACGACGUUGAUAGGCUGGGUGUGUAAGCGCCGUGAGGCGUUGAGCUAACCAGUACUAAUUGCACGUGAGGCUUGACCA
RNAcentral lists this ribosomal RNA (2611 nucleotides) under uncultured Gammaproteobacteria bacterium. RNAcentral's name for it is "23s_rRNA". The stretch from base 1248 to 2611 matches the Rfam family "Bacterial large subunit ribosomal RNA". Lineage: Bacteria; Pseudomonadati; Pseudomonadota; Gammaproteobacteria. The record is from RNAcentral.